RNAcentral lists this ribosomal RNA (305 nucleotides) under uncultured bacterium. Its description in RNAcentral is "bacterial SSU rRNA". It matches the Rfam family "Bacterial small subunit ribosomal RNA", at positions 335 to 659 of the family's 1533-position model. The record is from RNAcentral.
UUCCUAGGGGGGCAGCAGUGGGGAAUAUUGCACAAUGGGGGAGACCCUGAUGCAGCGACGCCGCGUGAGUGAAGAAGUAUUUCGGUAUGUAAAGCUCUAUCAGCAGGGAAGAGAAUGACGGUACCUGACUAAGAAGCCCCGGCUAACUACGUGCCAGCAGCCGCGGUAAUACGUAGGGGGCAAGCGUUAUCCGGAUUUACUGGGCGUAAAGGGAGCGUAGACGGCGCGGCAAGUCCGAAGUGAAAGGCAGGGGCUUAACCCCUGAACUGCUUUGGAAACUGCCAUGCUAGAGUGCAGUAGAGGUA